UAAACUGAUUGUACAAGUCGACAUUCACUUCAAUAGACUUGAUCUCAAUUGUAUUUAUUUUUUUUAUGUUGAAGGACUUUUCUUGUCAAUGUUGGUUUUUGUGAUGCUAAUGAUGUGCGCAAUAUAUUCCUUACAAAAGACUGCUGGUGUUUACUUGUUGAAAUCCUAGUUCACUAAAGACUCCAUGCUGCACGACAUCACCUCUUUAUAUCCCUAGCUAAUCGUGUUGGAGUACAGAGGUUAAUCUGUAGUAUUCAUCUUGGUAAAAUUUUCGUCGUUCAGGGAAUCGUAAAAUUCAAGGAUUUGGAACCUGUUGUCUUUAGCGUCUGUUUGCUAAAUUCAUCAAAUGUACUUCAAUACAUCAAGACUUUUAAUAUCUUCCCGGUAAAAAGGCUGCAGGAUAGGGAAUAAGGAGAGUCAGUUCUCUUCGAGCUCCCAGACCGGGAGUAGAGGAGAUAUUUACAUCGUACCAUCCCAUGAAAAUGGUUUUACCAAGACACUUCAUGACCUCAACUUCGAUGACAACCAGAAUGUGAUCAGGUCACUUGCUGAGGUUAACACAUUAUCAUCUGAUGAAGGUCCAUUACGAUGGGUUCCUGUUGUAGAGAACGUUAUUCCUAUCAUUAUACAGAGGAAAAAAGUUGGAACAGAAGAAGUGUUUGAAGUAAAUGCAACAACCAGCAAUGGAACACUCUUCAACACUGAAAUCAACUUAAAAGAGAUACGGCUAAAGAAGACUUCGGAGUGUUUUGUGCAAUGGAGGAAUCGUAAAUCAAAGAAUGCUUGGGGACUGAAUUUCAUCUCUGAAGAAGAAGCUAAAAAGUUUAUGGACUUUUGCUAUAAUGCACGCGUUCGUACGUGGUCUUUGAAUUCAUCCUCUACAUCGCAUCAAAGCUCUUCUAAUAGUAAACGUUCGACGACACCUAAAGAAUCAAAGUCCCCUUCUACCCAAACGAACGAGAACAGCCCAUCUACCAAACACAGCAACACACAUGUCAACAGUAAAGAUGAACACUAUGGAAGUAAUAACACACUGGUUUCCACGGAUACCAGUGUUAGUUCCCAUGGUAACACCAGCGACAAAAGUAGUAUACCUGGAUACCUUGAAACAGCAACGACUCCCGCGAGGAGUCACCAUAGAAACGCUGGUUUCCAGAGUAACGUGUUUUUAGCAACGAAAAAUAACGAGAGUUUUGUUUCAAGUGGUGGGCAAGACAGUGGAUUUGGUUUGGAAGAAGAAGAGAAUGCAACCGAUAGUAAUUCAAGGCCUUCAUCCCGUGUAUCGUUACAGGCGGGUCAUAAUGAACUCACGUCGUCCUUUAGCGAUGACAUUGAUCGGUCAGUUGACACUAGUGGAAUCCGUCAUGAAAACAGUGCUUCUGCUCUGGAAGACUCGACAGAGAUGAGUUACUACAAGGAAAUUGAAAGAUUAAAUCGUGAAGAAUCUUUGGAAAUCUCUGCUUCUUUUCAUGAUGAUAACGACCUGGGCAGCAGUUCUGGUAUUGAAACAGACGUCAAACCAAGAUCUGGUAUCGCGCAGUCGCGCCAGGGUGGUGGAACACGUAAAGCAGGCUGGUUAUCUGGCAAACACGUGUUCACGAGAGGAAAAGGCAAUAAGAUAGAACUAGCGUCAGACAGAAAAUGGAGAAAAUACUGGAUGACUUUGAAGAGUGCAGCCCUGAAUUUCUAUCAAUGUAACGAGAAAACAGUCAGCGCGCAAGAUCUCGAUGACCCGAGUUUUUCUCUAGAGAUUGAUUCGUGUAUUGCGCAAGCAGUCCCCGAACACGCUAAGCUAGAUCACGUGUUCAGCGUCAGUACGAGGCUUGGAGAGGCUUAUUACUUUCAGGCAGCCAACCAAACUGACCUUGAGAACUGGAUUACAGCUGUUCAUUCCAUGGCUGCAUCACUUCUAAGUGGAUCGAGACAAAAGAGUAAAGAUGAAAUGAUUCAAAUCCUGAACGAGAGAAUCAACCAAGUCAACGAAAAGAUUGCUUCAGAUUCGAGACUCAAGAAGAUGGCCGAGCUUCAAUCCACUGUCGUGACGGACUCUAAAAUGAAGCAGCAGUUCUCUGAACAGAUUUCUAGAUGGGAGCAAAAUCUCGAGAAGUUGAACAUAUCUUUGUAUCGACUGCAAUGCUACAUGUCAGCGGUUAAAGGAACACCUCUUCCCAACCCUCAAACAUUAUUAGCAUGCGUUGCUAGGACUACCAAACAAAGUCUUUCGCGUUUGGGAACNUUCUCCGUCAUGUCGUUUCAUGCUUUUGUGAGUGCCAGGGAUCCAUCAACAGAAGAAGAAGUGAAAGCAAGGAAUAAAGCAAAACGGAACCCAAGUAGCGUCGGCAAGAUCAAAAGCGCGAUCUUUACCUCGUUGAGAAUCAAUGACGCAGNCAGUGUGAAGUCAAUACGAGAUCGAUAUUCAUCGAAAAAUACUGCCAAAGGAGGCGCAAAACUAAAGAGAUCCAAUCUAGACAACAUACCUGACACACUCGAGGAAGACGAAAGCGAGUCAAGGUCACUAAGUUCCAGCCACUCAGACUGGAAAAGCCUCGGCAAAUACUUGAGGAUCAGUCUACCUAGCAACCAAAGCACAGUCAUUGCUCUUAAGGAUCAUAUGACAGUAGACGAUGUUGUGGUGAACACGUGCGAGAAGAGACAGUUAGAAUCACGUGCAUAUUUCUUGAAACUAGGAAUACAGGAAGCUGAUNGAUCCUCAGAAUACUUCAUUCCAAAGCAAGAUGCUUUACUCGAGGAUCAGGAAUAUACUUUAUUAAAGUUGUGUUCAAGAUGUGUUUAUCAAGUUGAACUGACGAAAUCCCUUGAAGCAGAUGGACUGGACUUCGGUAUUUCUGUUGCAAGCAAGAAGGGAGGUCUUUACGUCAACCAUGUCGAGAGAGGUCGUCUAGCUCAUGUUCAAGGAGUAAUGGCGGGAGAUGAAAUUUUAGCUGUGAAUGACGUCAAAGUAGGUGACGUAGACAAUGCGGAUCCUCUAGGAGAUUUAAAAGGGGCUUUACGAGAUUCUUGCAUAAAAUUAGAAUUACGAUCACCACGUGAUGAGCCUCCAGUGACCAACAAAGUCACUUCUGAUGCUAUCAUUAGUCGCCUGGUGAUAAAACCUCCGCCCAAGCUAAGUGACAAUAUUGAAUAUGGAGACCUGAGUGAUAUGAUUGUCCCCCCUCCCCUCAUGGACUUUGAUGACGGUGAUGAUGGCAGCGUGUUUAGUGUAGAUUCUAUUCAGACAACGUCCACCCAGCAGAAUCCAGAUCGAUCGAGCAAAACAGUCGAUGAACUGUUGCAGCAAGCAGAGGAAGUAACAAUAUUUUGUAGACAGCGGACGGAAUAUUCAGAAGACGACUCCAAAGCCGUAAUCCAAUUAACAGAUGCUCACAAACUGCGCAAAGUCAUAGUUGAACUGGUAGACACGGAGAGAUCUUACGUCAAGGAUUUGAAGCUGCUUUUGAACAGGUAUUUGGAUCCUCUGAAAGAUGAAAACUUCAUGUCUAAAGCAGAGGUCAAAGCUUUGGUUAGUACAGUUGAAGAGAUCCUCGAUUUCCAGAAAAAGUUUCUGCAGGAGCUUGAAAAUAUCAUCGACUCAGAGACUAGUUUUGAUGACUUUGAUGAAAUCCAACAAUUCCAGAACGUGAUCCUCGCAAUAGGAGAAUUAUUCCUUCAGUACACAGAACAUUUCAAACUUUACAGUGCUUUUUGUUCAAGUCAUUCUAGAGUUGUAGAACUGCUGGCGCCUGGACAAAACCAAGAACUUCGGAAUUUCUUAGAUGCUCGUAAUCCAAAGAACCAACAUUCGGGAACUCUUGAAUCGUACUUCAUCAAACCUAUACAGAGAAUUCUUCGUUACCCGUUGUUGAUGAGAACGAUUCUCAAGCUGCUGAAUAAGGAGACAGAAGAAUACCAAAAUCUUCUCGAUGCAGUAGAAGCAGUCGAGAAAGUCGCCACACACAUCAAUGAAAUGCAAAGAAUCACCGAAAAGUUUGCGCCGCUUUUCAAUGAAGUUGUCGAAGAGUUCGGCGGCUUUGAGGUGUCUGACGUCAUGAUUGAUAAACUAUUGCAUCAUGGGAAGGUCACGUGGUUGAAUUGUCCAGACGAGCCUCGUAGUGGUACGCUCAAGCUAAAGAAUCCUACGACUCCACGUGUCAGCAAAAAGAACUCUGUUAUGCAUAUAUUUGGUGAGAUUUGAUAGUUUUUGAAAAAAUUGUCAUAUUGAUCCACCUAGAAGUAAAAUCGAGGAAAAAGGAAAAAAGUACGUCAUUAAAAACAUCGGAGGAAGUAAAAUUUCGAACGUUAAUUCCAGUGACGUCUCUCGUUCUACGGGAUC
RNAcentral lists this unclassified non-coding RNA (4330 nucleotides) under Actinia tenebrosa (Australian red waratah sea anemone). RNAcentral's name for it is "t-lymphoma invasion and metastasis-inducing protein 2-like, transcript variant X3". The record is from RNAcentral. Lineage: Eukaryota; Metazoa; Cnidaria; Anthozoa; Actiniaria; Actiniidae.